RNAcentral lists this small nucleolar RNA (120 nucleotides) under Echinops telfairi (small Madagascar hedgehog). RNAcentral describes it as "Small nucleolar RNA SNORA61 (ENSETEG00000026705.1)". The record is from RNAcentral. Lineage: Eukaryota; Metazoa; Chordata; Mammalia; Afrosoricida; Tenrecidae.
UGCCCCCGAUUUCUUAUCCGUCAGACCUGAACACUUCUCUGAAUGAUUCCAAAAAGAGGAAAUGUAGAAUGGAAACUGGCUUAAUUUCUUUUGUGACACAGAAGCCAGUUCAAAGCAGAA